Molecule: ribosomal RNA, 466 nt
Filed under: uncultured bacterium
Lineage: Bacteria
Description: partial 16S ribosomal RNA
Rfam family: Bacterial small subunit ribosomal RNA
Source: RNAcentral
GACGAACGCUGGCGGCGUGCUUAACACAUGCAAGUCGAACGGAAAGGCCCUGCUUGCAGGGUACUCGAGUGGCGAACGGGUGAGUAACACGUGGGUGAUCUGCCCUGCACUUCGGGAUAAGCUUGGGAAACUGGGUCUAAUACCGGAUAGGAGCCAUCUUUAGUGUGGUGGUUGGAAAGUUUUUUCGGUGUAGGAUGAGCUCGCGGCCUAUCAGCUUGUUGGUGGGGUAAUGGCCUACUAAGGCGGCGACGGGUAGCCGGCCUGAGAGGGUGUACGGCCACAGUGGGACUGAGAGACGGCCCAGACUCCUACGGGAGGCAGCAGUGGGGAAUAUUGCACAAUGGGCGCAAGCCUGAUGCAGCGACGCCGCGUGGGGGAUGAAGGCCUUCGGGUUGUAAACUCCUUUAGCUAGGGACGAAGCUUUUUUGUGACGGUACCUAGAUAAGAAGCACCGGCUAACUACGUG